RNAcentral lists this ribosomal RNA (517 nucleotides) under uncultured bacterium. Its description in RNAcentral is "bacterial SSU rRNA". It matches the Rfam family "Bacterial small subunit ribosomal RNA", at positions 791 to 1310 of the family's 1533-position model. The record is from RNAcentral.
UAGUCCACGCCGUAAACGAUGAGAACUAGACGUUGGGUUCAUUUAAGAACUUAGUGUCGUAGCUAACGCGUGAAGUUCUCCGCCUGGGAAGUAUGCUCGCAAGAGUGAAACUCAAAGGAAUUGACGAGGGCCCGCACAAGCGGAGGAACAUGUGGUUUAAUUCGAUGAUACGCGAGGAACCUUACCUGGGCUUAAAUGUACGGCGACCGGUCUAGAGAUAGACCUUUCUUCGGACGACGUACAAGGUGCUGCAUGGUUGUCGUCAGCUCGUGCCGUGAGGUGUCGGGUUAAGUCCCAUAACGAGCGCAACCCCUAUCUUUAGUUGCUAACAGGUUAAGCUGAGGACUCUAGAGAGACUGCCACCGUAAGGUGAGAGGAAGGUGGGGAUGACGUCAAAUCAGCACGGCCCUUAUGUCCAGGGCUACACACGUGUUACAAUGGUCAGUACAAAGGGCAGCUACCUGGCGACAGGAUGCUAAUCUCUAAAACUGGUCUCAGUUCGGAUCGGAGUCUGCAA